Molecule: regulatory RNA element, 89 nt
Organism: Ethanoligenens harbinense
Lineage: Bacteria; Bacillati; Bacillota; Clostridia; Eubacteriales; Oscillospiraceae
Rfam family: c-di-GMP-I riboswitch aptamer
About the family: GEMM was predicted in a large-scale screen for bacterial structured RNA regulatory elements. Genes associated with GEMM are involved in a diverse array of functions, including chemotaxis regulation, signal transduction, secretion and chitin.
Source: Rfam
UAUCAGAAAAGGCAAACUGACCGAAAGGCAGGGGCAUAAAGCCAAGAGUCUAAGGUAAAUAAACGUACUAUGAUAGUCUGGUUGCAAAA